AGUCAUUCUUCGGUAGUGUAUAGAGAACGAAGGUUCAAAACGGAAAGAAAAUUCUUUAUAUAUGCAGUGUAUUGCAAAGAAAGCUUCAAAACGAAUAGAAAUUUUUAUAUAUAUCUAUAUAUAUAUAAUUGUCUAUUCGUAUAUAUAGACAGUAAAAAUUUAAGAGGAGGUUUUUCAGGAUUUACCCUGAGUGGAAAGUAAUGCGAUGUGAGACAUGUAAUUGGAAACACAUUCUGCCAGGUUGCGUACACUUUUCUCAUCAUAUUCUCACAAAAUGACAGAGCGGCACAAAGCCUGAUUAACCCUCUCACUCCGGGAGGAGCCAAUCACUUCAGCAUACCGCUCUCACGAUGGAAACAACGGCAGGUUUACGGGAGGUAUGGUGGAGUAUCCCCACCCCCGGGCUCCGUGUGCCCGCGGAGAAGACAGAGGCAUGGGUAUCGUUUGUAGUCUAACACUUCGGUACAAGACUUUAUGGAAAGAUUAUGAUGUGUUAUUCUGUUGGUAGAAUAACCUGAGGUCUUACCAUGUUUGUGUUGGCUUUGUAAAUAAAGAAAUAAAACAGAAA
Molecule: long non-coding RNA, 568 nt
Organism: Ostrea edulis (European flat oyster)
Lineage: Eukaryota; Metazoa; Mollusca; Bivalvia; Ostreida; Ostreidae
Exons: 2
Source: RefSeq, a predicted model, not a curated record